AUUGAACGCUGGCGGCAGGCCUAACACAUGCAAGUCGAACGGUAACAGGAAACAGCUUGCUGUUUCGCUGACGAGUGGCGGUCGGGUGAGUAAUGUCUGGGAAACUGCCUGAUGGAGGGGGAUAACUACUGGAAACGGUAGCUAAUACCGCAUAACGUCGCAAGACCAAAGAGGGGGACCUUCGGGCCUCUUGCCAUCGGAUGUGCCCAGAUGGGAUUAGCUUGUUGGUGGGGUAACGGCUCACCAAGGCGACGAUCCCUAGCUGGUCUGAGAGGAGGACCAGCCAGACUGGAACUGAGACACGGUCCAGACUCCUACGGGAGGCAGCAGUGGGGAAUAUUGCACAAUGGGCGCAAGCCUGAUGCAGCCAUGCCGCGUGUAUGAAGAAGGCCUUCGGGUUGUAAAGUACUUUCAGCGGGGAGGAAGGGAGUAAAGUUAAUACCUUUACUCAUUGACGUUACCCGCAGAAGAAGCACCGGCUAACUCCGUGCCAGCAGCCGCAGUAA
This 506-nucleotide ribosomal RNA is filed under the name uncultured bacterium. Its description in RNAcentral is "partial 16S ribosomal RNA". It matches the Rfam family "Bacterial small subunit ribosomal RNA", at positions 30 to 523 of the family's 1533-position model. The record is from RNAcentral.